UACGAAGGGUGCAAGCGUUACUCGGAAUUACUGGGCGUAAAGCGUGCGUAGGUGGUUUGUUAAGUCUGAUGUGAAAGCCCUGGGCUCAACCUGGGAAUUGCAUUGGAUACUGGCAGGCUAGAGUGCGGUAGAGGAUGGCGGAAUUCCCGGUGUAGCAGUGAAAUGCGUAGAGAUCGGGAGGAACAUCUGUGGCGAAGGCGGCCAUCUGGACCAGCACUGACACUGAGGCGCGAAAGCGUGGGGAGCAAACAGG
This 253-nucleotide ribosomal RNA is filed under the name uncultured bacterium. Its description in RNAcentral is "partial 16S ribosomal RNA". It matches the Rfam family "Bacterial small subunit ribosomal RNA", at positions 524 to 776 of the family's 1533-position model. The record is from RNAcentral.